Molecule: long non-coding RNA, 227 nt
Organism: Helianthus annuus (common sunflower)
Lineage: Eukaryota; Viridiplantae; Streptophyta; Magnoliopsida; Asterales; Asteraceae
Exons: 3
Source: RefSeq, a predicted model, not a curated record
CUAAAACAAACUCUAUCCCCUCAUCAUUCUUGGAAGUCAAUGGCAGACCCUUCCUUCUCGAGGUUUCCUCCUACACUCUAGCACCCUUCCUGCAUCUCAUAAAUUGCAACCAAUAAUCUGGGCAUACUUGAUCAACUGGUAUUUACGUAAUUAAGUCUAACCGAGCAAACCAAAGGUAAUUACUGAAGGAACUUGGGAACUUGUUGUCUGAUGCUGCUGGAGUGGUU